RNAcentral lists this ribosomal RNA (500 nucleotides) under uncultured bacterium. Its description in RNAcentral is "bacterial SSU rRNA". It matches the Rfam family "Bacterial small subunit ribosomal RNA", at positions 8 to 507 of the family's 1533-position model. The record is from RNAcentral.
AGAGUUUGAUCAUGGCUCAGAAUGAACGUUGGCGGCGUGGAUUAGGCAUGCAAGUCGAGCGAGAACCCGCAAGGGGGACAGCGGCGAACGGGUAGGACAAUCUAGGUAACGUACCCUCGGGGGCGAGGACAGCCACGGGAAACUGUGGGUAAUACUCGAUAAACUUCCCAAUCAUUAUGGAAGGGGAAGCAAUGGGUGUGAUUCCACCUGAGGAGCGGCUUAGACAGUAUCAGCUAGUUGGUGAGGUAACGGCUCACCAAGGCUACGACGCUUAGGGGGUGUGAGAGCAUGGCCCCCACCACUGGCACUGAGACACUGGCCAGACACCUACGGGUGGCUGCAGUCGAGAAUCUUCGGCAAUGGACGCAAGUCUGACCGAGCGACGCCGCGUGCGGGAUGAAGGUCUUCGGAUUGUAAACCGCUGUCAGAGGGGAUGAAGUGUACGGGAGUUAUCUCCUGUAUUUGACAGAGCCUCAGAGGAAGCACGGGCUAAGUUCGUG